UAGGGAAUCUUCCACAAUGGACGCAAGUCUGAUGGAGCAACGCCGCGUGAGUGAAGAAGGUUUUCGGACCGUAAAGCUCUGUUGUUGGUGAAGAAGGAUAGAGGUAGUAACUGGCCUUUAUUUGACGGUAAUCAACCAGAAAGUCACGGCUAACUACGUGCCAGCAGCCGCGGUAAUACGUAGGUGGCAAGCGUUGUCCGGAUUUAUUGGGCGUAAAGCGAGCGCAGGCGGAAGAAUAAGUCUGAUGUGAAAGCCCUCGGCUUAACCGAGGAAUUGCAUCGGAAACUGUUUUUCUUGAGUGCAGAAGAGGAGAGUAGAACUCCAUGUGUAGCGGUGGAAUGCGUAGAUAUAUGGAAGAAUACCAGUGGCGAAGGCGGCUCUCUGGUCUGCAAACUGACGCUGAGGCUCGAAAGCAUGGGUAGCGAACAGGAUUAGAUACCCUGGUAGUCCAUGCCGUAAACGAUGAGUGCUAAGUGUUGGGAGGCUUCCGCCUCUCAGUGCUGCAGCUAACGCAUUAAGCACUCCGCCUGGGGGAGUACGACCGCAAGGUUGAAAC
Molecule: ribosomal RNA, 556 nt
Filed under: uncultured bacterium
Lineage: Bacteria
Description: partial 16S ribosomal RNA
Rfam family: Bacterial small subunit ribosomal RNA
Source: RNAcentral